CCUACGGGUGGCAGCAGUGGGGAAUAUUGCACAAUGGGGGAAACCCUGAUGCAGCGACGCCGCGUGAAGGAAGAAGUCCCUCGGUAUGUAAACUUCUAUCAGCAGGGAAGAAAAUGACGGUACCUGACUAAGAAGCUCCGGAUAACUACGUGCCAGCAGCCGCGGUAAUACGUAGGGGGCAAGCGUUAUCCGGAUUUACUGGGUGUAAAGGGAGCGUAGGCGGUGCAGCAAGUCAGAAGUGAAAGCCCGGGGCUCAACUCCGGGACUGCAUUUGAAACUGUUGAACUAGAUUGCAGGAGAGGUAGGUGGAAUUCGUGGUGUAGCGGUGAAAUGCGUAGAUAUUAGGAGGAACACCGGUGGCGAAGGCAGCUUACUGGACUGUAAAUGACGCUGAGGCUCGAAAGCGUGGGGAGCAAACAGGAUUAGAUACCCCGGUAGUC
RNAcentral lists this ribosomal RNA (440 nucleotides) under uncultured bacterium. Its description in RNAcentral is "partial 16S ribosomal RNA". It matches the Rfam family "Bacterial small subunit ribosomal RNA", at positions 338 to 795 of the family's 1533-position model. The record is from RNAcentral.